CAAAUUUAAAAACCCUAAAACCCAAACAACCUCUGUCCUCUCUUCAUCAUCUUCACCAUUCAAGCAGACAACUUGAUGAUCCAUUGCGCAAUUUAACAUGCAUCACUGACGCCCACAAACAUUCCCGCACUAGACUAUCUUUCUACCCCAUUCACACACACAAAUUUUGCAGAUAAAAUCUAGCAGGAAAAUUCAAGAUUUCUGAGAGGAACCCAAGUUUUAUUUUCCUUUUUCCUUGCUGGGUUUCUUCGAGGAACCUUCUUUGCCUCCUUUUCUCUGUUUUGCCAACUUUCGGGGUUUCAAGUAUUCAAGAACCACAAUUUGAAAGCCAGAAAGAAGUAAUAUCAUCAGGCUUCUCCGGCAGAAAGGAAGAGUCGAAAUCAGAAGUUUUCUGAUGGCUGCAAAUAAGCCUCGAACGAGUAGUUUCUCUCGGAAUGUUGCAGUUUCCUUGCUGGGUUUCUUCUUAGCUCUUUCUUCUUGUAGAAAAAUAUUUGGUUUUAGUGUAAAUUUGCAUCGGGUAAUGGGUUUUUCCACUUCCGAAGUUUUGUUUUUGGAUGCAAAGUUAAUUUAGCUUCUGUUGUUUGGUCAAAGCUCAUCAGAUUUUGUGCUCUCAAUGGGCAAUUGGACGAAGCUCACCACCUGUUCGAUCAAAUGCCUAAAAGGAAGAUGAACCAAACUGUUCUGGAAAAGUUAGGUAAAAGUCUUGUAGUUUGGAUACAAAUGCUUAAUUAAGUUCUUGAUAGAUGCUGAUUGCUUAGUUGCCCUUUCUCCUCUUUUAAACCAAGUCUAAACUCAUUUAGAUUAUUCUAUUCUUGUUCUUGAAUAUUUCAGCCAAUGAAUAAAUUACUGAUAUUGGAAAAA
Long non-coding RNA from Coffea arabica (coffee), 861 nucleotides. RefSeq lists it as uncharacterized. The record is from RefSeq and is a predicted model, not a curated record. Lineage: Eukaryota; Viridiplantae; Streptophyta; Magnoliopsida; Gentianales; Rubiaceae.